AUUUUUUGGUUAAUAAAAUAAAUAAAGAAAAAGUUGUCAUUUUCUCUUUCAUUUUUUUCUCUUCUCCUCCACCGAAAUAUGCAGCAAAGAAAGGGUUUUGAAGCUGGAAAAUUUCAGCAACAUAUUUCCCUUGCUUGUAAGUGAUUUUAAUGUCUUUGCUUGACGAUUUUUACAUUUUUGGAACCCCUAAAGCAUGAGCUUUCAUAAGAGGGGACUAUUUUGAAAAAUGAUAAAGAGUAUAGGGUUUUUCCAUGAGAUUAAAUAUGUUGUUUGCUGUGUUUUUAUGGAAGAUUAUGAGUCCUAGUUGUCUAAUAAACAACUUUUGUGAAAGAAAUUGCAUGAAAACACCUUAAAAAGGGCUAGAUUGCUAAGUUGUAAAAUGAGUUGUAAAUGUGUAAAAUAGUUGAAAUUAUGAGUUGCUAUAGCUAUGAAAAUGGUUCAUCUAGACUCAAGGAGUAAAGAAAUGUGAUAAAAAUUAUUUUACGAGCAUUGGGGCAAAAGUGAAAAUAUGCAAAAGUUUAGGGGUCAAAAUGAAAAUUUGUAAAAAUAUGAUUUUUAGACCCAUAUGAAUAUGGUGACUGAUUGGUAGGCUAAAUGUGAUAUUAUAGAUCAAUGAAAUCGAGAUUUGGACCUAGAACGGAAAGAAAUCGAUUAAGGGAUGAUUAUGUCCUUUUUACCUUUGUGGUAUCAAGGUAAGUUGAUAUGUAAACAAUACCAUGCUAUACAUGUAUUUAAAUGUUAUCAUUACAUGAAUUGUACAAAUCUUAAUGUGUAUGUGAUUAAUAGAAAUAUGAUGAGACAAAGCCUUAAUAGACGAGGAAAAAUCCCGUUUGAACCUUAGGAAUAGAAUAGGAUACGAGUGACAUGUCACUAGGAAUUAUGAGUCUAGAUGACUAGCUCGAGAGUGAGCAUUGAAAUGUCAUGGGAUAUGAGGUAGCUUUAGCUACAAUUGAGGUACUUAUGUGCAAAGGCUUUUCCGAGUAUCCAAUUAGUAUUCCAAGUGUUCAACGGGUAAUCCGAGGAAAGAGUUGAUGAUGGUCCCAAUGAGGUAAGUCAUUGGUGAGUAUGCACUUGAGUUAUGUUACGAGUUGUGCAAGUAUGUAUACUAAACCUAUGAGAAUGCCUUGAUAUGUGUUGAUCUAUGAUGCAUAAAAUGUGUUCUUACCAUGAUGGAUGAAAUGAUGUUGUAUCAAUUUUGUGAACAAUGAUCAUGAAUGAGUAACUUAGCCUUGACAGAUUUGAGUUAUUGCAGUAGUGUAACUUUGAAAAUACACUAAAAAUAGUGGAAAAUGAGUUAGAGGCAGAAUAAAAUAUGGGAUUAAAUCUUAAUGAGUCUAUUUUCACAUGAAAGAAAUAUGGGAAGAAAAAGAAUUCUAUAUUGUGUGAUAUUUGAAUUCUUUUGAAACAGGGUCUGAAUGAAUUCGAGAUCCCCUGUUCUAAAUUUAUAAAUUCACAAUAAAUUGUAGAAAAAUUAUUAAGAGUCAUACCUUAUAUUCAUGGAUUUUUUAUUGAGUCUAUUUUUAAGGGAAAUAAACGACAUGGUCAUUGGAAUUCUGUACAGGGAGAAAUUUGGUUCGUAGUGCACAAGGGUCAGAGUAGUUAUACCCUGAAAUAGGGAAGACUUUAACUAAUAAACUGUACUAAAUGGCUCGACCAAAAAUUCUGGAAAUUUUAUGGAAGAAAGAUAAAUGAGCCUAGUUUCAGAGAAAAUUUAAGGAACUUAAUUUAGAGUUUUAUAGCUCCAGAGAUAAAUAAUUUAGUGACUAUUUCUCAGGAAGACAACUUACAGUGAAAUUAUGAUUAUGUGGUAAACAUUGACAAAAAUUUGUUAAUGAGUUGCUUAUUGAUUUCUUAUAAGCUUACUAUGAUCUGUAGGUGUGAAAUUCGAAUAUAUUAAAUAUAUAUAUUAUAUUUUGAAAGUGAUGCUUGAAUAGUCGAAUAAUGACUAGUUUAAAGUUGUUGAAUUUAAGCUCAAGAGCAUAGAAGGGCAAAUUCGGAUAAGGGAAAAGAGAAAGUAAUCGAAUAGCCGUUGUAAUCGUACGACAACAUUCGAGGUAAGUUCAUAAGUAUAUAAAAAUUAUUGUGAGGUUGAAAUAUGUAAUAUGUGUAUUAGAUUUGAUGCACUACGUGUGCGAUAAAGGCAAUAACUACAACAUUUAAAAUGGCGCUGGGUGCGUGAGAUUGUAAUAGCAUUGGCUGAGUAAAUGGAACUAUGUGGGUGACAUAGAUAUAAGUUCGGUUUAAUGUAAUGGCACUAAGUGUGCGAUAUAAUUAUAGCUUCCGCUAAUUAAUUGGCACUAAGUGUCGAUAUAAUUAUAGAUUUGGCUAAUUAAUUGGCACUAAGUGUGCGAUACAAUUAUAGCUUCGGCUAAUUAAUUGGCACUAAGUGUGCGAUACAAUUAUAGCUUCAGUUAAUUAAUUGGCACUAAGUGUGCGAAACCAUUAUAACUUCGAUUAAUUAAUUAGCACUAAGUGUGCAAGUUUGUUGAAUGUUCAAGGAUGAUUGAAUGAAUUAAUGUUUCGAGCAUUGAAAUGAUAAGCAUGACAGAUAAGAAGGUAAUGGUACAGGUAUGUACGAAACCUAUGUGGUGGAUGAUGUUAAGUAUGAAGUAGAUGAAAAUUUAUGUAAAUGAAUGGGGAAAUAUUAUUCGGGCCUUUGAGCCUAGCAGGCUAUAAUGUCAGUGAGAUACUAUUCGGGCUUUCGAGCCUAGCAGGCUAUAAUGCUGGUGAAAUGAUAUCGGGCCUCGAGCCUAGUAGGCGAAAUGCCGAUGAUUUGAGAAAAGUCUAAGACUAAGGUACCUCGUGUUAGAUUGACAAAUGAAUACAUUCAAUACGUUAAGAGGGCCAGGUACGCAUUAUGUACUCAUAUGUGAGUUUGAUUUGAAUUGAAUCAUAAGUGUGAUGUGAUACAUAUGUGAAUAAAUGUUAUAACUAUAUAUAUGACCAUGAUACAUUCGGUCAAGGUGUGAAAGUAUGUGAAAGUAUUUGAUUUAUUUAUGUUAUAUGAAUUCUGAUUAAGUGUUAUAAGAAUGAUGAAUAUGCAUUAUGUGCUUGUGUAUAUUCGGCCAGAUGGCAAUAUACUUAAAAUAUGGCCUCUUGAGAAAUUGAAUAAUCGAAGUAUAAUUGUAUUUAUUUGUUUGCGGAGUUCGCCGGAGAUAUUAUCACACUGUCGAGCUAACACUAUGGGUGUAGUGAUUUCAAAUACUUUGAGUCUAUGGCAUGUAUAGGUGUGUAAAUAUUAGAGUAUGUGAUUUGGCUUUAACCAUAUGUGUUGGCCUAUUUUGAUUAUAGGGUUGUAAAUCUAUUUUAAUUAUGCAUGAAUGUGCUAUGGUAUUAUGUGACGAGUUUAUAAUGAUUAAAGCAUGAAUUUUCCAAGUUUUUCUUAAGUUCUCGGUUUAGUCCCGAACCACCCCAGAUAUAUGUUUUGGGUCUCGUGAACCCGUUUAAGGGACAAGAUUGUAUGUGAAAAGAAAAGUUUUUAAUUAUUUGAGAUUUCAUGGCCCUGUUUAGUGUAGAAGUGUUAGUAAAAUUCAAGUAGCACCUCGAACCCCGUCCUAGCGUCGGAUGCAAGCGAGGGGUGUUACAUUUGGUCUAGUGGUAUGAUUUUAGCUUCGGACGCGAGAAGUCUUGUAAUAGCUCGAUUUUUAGUGGUGUCGGAAACAGUGGUUUCAGAGCCACCAAAUCUGGCAAGUAAGUUUGUAAAUAUUAUAUUUAAUAUUUAUGAGUUAUUUUUUAUUUUAAAAAGGUUUUUGAUAUAGUGAUUUUUGUUGUAUAAAUGAUUUAUUAAGUUCAAGUGGUUUUAGAAAAUGAGGUAUUGAGACCUCGUUUCUAUAAACCGAGCCGCAAAUAUUUAUAAAUAUUUAUGGAGUGUAAUUAAGGUGGUAUUAAAUUUUUUUUGGAAAAUUUUAUCGUUUCGAUAGUUAAUUAAGCAAAAAGGGCUAAAUCGCAUAAAGUGUAAAAGUUGUGUUCUAUAAGUAAAGGUAUUAAAUAGCUAUAGAACUUUAAAGUGGAAGUCCUUAUACGGUAAAUAAACCAUUAAAGGUGAUAGUGGAUGUGCAUAGCUUGGCAUUAGUGUAAUUUUUAAAUAGGUAAAAGUAAAAUAGUAAUUUGAUUAUUAAAUUAAAUUAAAUAAAAACCAAAAUGUUAUAUCAUCAUUUUGGUGUCUUCUUCAAGAAUGAAAAGGAAAAAGAGAAGCCAUGGAUGCUGGAAAAUUUCAGCCAUGUUUUUUCAUUGCAUGUAAGCCCUUAAGCUAUUAAUUUCUUGUAAUUUUUAUGUUUUUGAGAGCGUUGCAAUUAGGUCCAGCUAGCCCGUACCUUUGAUUUUAAACUGUUAAAGAUUUUGAAUGUUGCCAUUGAUGAAUCUUGUGAUUUUUGAUGUUAGAUGAUGAAUUUGGAAUGUUGAUUUAUAUUUAAAAGUAUUUUGUUAAGUGGUUUUGAUGAAUUUUUUGAUUAGGGACAAAUUUGUUAAAUUAAUAAAAGUACAAGGAUUAAAUGUGAGAUUUUUGCAUAAAUGGGAUGUUUUGGAUACCAGGAAUUUUUUUCUAAGCUCAAUUUGGGGUAAAAAUGGUUAAUUUGCAUGUUUUGGGCUCAGGGACUAAAUUGAAUAAAAGUAAAACUUUAGGGAUAAUUUUGUAAAAAUGUCAAAAAUGAAAAAAUUGUAUGAAAUGAAUUUUUUAUUGUCUAAAUUAAUAUAUUGAAUGAAAUUAUUAAUUUAGAUCAAGAUCGGGUGAAAAAUCGAGUUAAAUAGUAAAUUAUCAAAAUGCCCCUGAACUUUGGUAUUUCUGUAAUUUAGCCAGGUAAGAUUUUAUGAACUAUACUAUGUAUAUUGUUGAUUAAAUUGGAUAUAUAUAUUAUACAAUUUAGCUUAUAAUGAAACGAGGAAAAUUCAACAACGCACAACGACUAUCGAGUCUCGUUUGAACCUUAGGAAUAUUUAGAAUACGAAUGACAUGUCAUUAGGGGUUACCGUGUUAUGGGUGCUGGUCUUAUAUGUCCUAUCGAUGGCUGAGUUUCCAGCAUUUGUUGCGGUUACUUGACAGCUUGUGUUAGCAGCACCAUGUAGCUACGUCUCGACUGACAGCUUGUGUGAGCAGACCCAGUUAUGGCUCAAGUGAGAGCAUUGAUAUGAGAUAUGAGAUAGUAGUGGCUUCGACCACGUGUAGGCACAUAGUGUGCGAGACUCCAUUGUAUCCGAUAUUAUUCUAAGUGGUUUAACGGGAAAUAUGCUAUUACGAGACGCUAUGAGUUUGAUACAAACUAAUACUAGUAUAUACAUGAAAUAUAUGGAAAUGAUGGUACAUGAUAUAUUGAUAUAUUGAAAUGGAUGAUAUAUGUAUAUGAUGAAACGGAAAGAUAAUGAUAUGUAUCAUGACAUGCACAUAUAUGAAUAUCUUUGAUAUAUUGAUACAUGAUAAUUAUGUAAGUUGAGACAAGUAAUGAACUCAAUUGUGACAUGUUGAGAAAAUAAAAUUAUCAAUGUUGAAUUUAUAUGAAAUAUGUUCAAGUACGCUAACAUGUGUUGCUGUUUGAUGCUUAGGCAAGUGCCAAGCUGUUGGCUGAAUGAUAUUAUGUUUACAUAUAAGUCGUAUUGAAAUGGUAAGUGCUCAAAUGAAAAUAUGCUUAUACUCAUGAAAAAGUGAUAAUGUUUAAAAAUUAUGCAAAUUCUUAGGAAAUGGUUUAUCAUGUGAUUAAUUCUAAAAGAGCUAUGCUUAAAUGCACUACCUUGUGGCUAUGGUUGAUGAUAUGCUUGUGUCUUGUGUACUAUGUAUAUGAAAUGAGUGAUGAAAAAGAGAAUGAUGAGUUGAAUUGAUGAUGUUAUUUAAGCUAAAGAAAGUAAAUGUAAUGGAAAGUAAUGACAUGCAAAUGAAAGGAAGAAAAUUGAAAGAGAUUUAAAGUUUUCAUAAAAUCCUACUUUGUUAAGGAUGAUAGGUAUAAGUGAUGUUGUGGAAUUAUUCAAUUUCUAAGUUGUUGAAUUUGGUUUCAUGAAUCGUGUGGUAUCGGUAUAUGAUUAUUCUUGAUAUGUAUAAAUUUCAUAUUUGAAAUGGAUAGAUAUGAUUAAAGUUUAUACGAGCUUACCUUAGCAUUAUUGCUUACGUAGUUAUUUUUCUUUACUUACAGACUAUUGGAAGCUCGAUUGGGUUGGAAGCUCGUCAAAGAUUUAUCACACUAUCCAGCAAUUAUAUCGGUAGAUUUUGAGGUCUUGGUUAAGGUUAUAAUGGCAUGUAUAGGUAUUUUGGCUAAUGUUAGCCCAUGUGUUUUGGGUGUGGAAAUGACUAUUUGGUUAGUUUGCAUUUUGGCCUUGUGUUGGUAAAAUGAUAUAUAUUAUAAGGUGAAUAUAAUUAGCCUUGUAAUGGUUGAUAUAUGACUUAUUAUGGUUGAAUGAUGGUAGAUAGAAAAGUAGUUGAAUGUGCAUAUUAGAUAUGACAUAUAACUUGUUGUGAAUUGGUGUUUUGCCAUAUUAAGCAUAUAUGUGUUUUGAUGCUAUUGAUUAUGUGGUACGGUUGGUACCAAAUGGUAUGUUUUGGUAAGUGAUUUACAUGUUGUGUAAUGUUGCAAAUUUAGUUAGAAGUCAAUCAAUUAUUU
Molecule: long non-coding RNA, 6581 nt
Filed under: Gossypium barbadense (sea-island cotton)
Lineage: Eukaryota; Viridiplantae; Streptophyta; Magnoliopsida; Malvales; Malvaceae
Description: long non-coding RNA (GBAR_LNC012104)
Source: RNAcentral